GAAACUCGGUCUCACAAACCCCUUAUCUGUUAACUCCAGCAACUAAGCUUUUAAUUCUUUCAAUUCAGUCGUAGUCAUUCUGUAUUGAGAGAUCGAAAUUGGUACAGUUCCAGGUAAUAAAUCAAUAGCAUACUUAAGCUCUCUAAUCGGAGGCAACCCCAGCAAUUAUUUUGGAAAUACAUCCGGGAACUCGCAGACUACUUGUACUAAUUCAAGCUUCGGCUCAGACAUUUUAGUAUUUAAUACAUAAGAAAGAUAAGCUUCACACCGUUUUCGCAUAUAUCACUGAGCAGACAUAUACGAAAUCACCAUAGGCAAUUUAUUUGAUUCAUUU
RNAcentral lists this long non-coding RNA (334 nucleotides) under Gossypium barbadense (sea-island cotton). RNAcentral's name for it is "long non-coding RNA (GBAR_LNC004300)". The record is from RNAcentral. Lineage: Eukaryota; Viridiplantae; Streptophyta; Magnoliopsida; Malvales; Malvaceae.